RNAcentral lists this ribosomal RNA (305 nucleotides) under uncultured bacterium. RNAcentral describes it as "bacterial SSU rRNA". It matches the Rfam family "Bacterial small subunit ribosomal RNA", at positions 334 to 658 of the family's 1533-position model. The record is from RNAcentral.
GACCUACGGGAGGCAGCAGUGGGGGAUAUUGCACAAUGGGGGAAACCCUGAUGCAGCGACGCCGCGUGGGUGAAGAAGCGCCUCGGCGCGUAAAGCCCUGUCAGCAGGGAAGAAAAUGAUGGUACCUGAAGAAGAAGCCCCGGCUAACUACGUGCCAGCAGCCGCGGUAAUACGUAGGGGGCAAGCGUUAUCCGGAUUUACUGGGUGUAAAGGAGGCGCAGACGGCGAUGCAAGCCAGGAGUGAAAGCCCGGGGCCCAACCCCGGGACUGCUCUUGGAACUGCGUGGCGCGAGGGCAGGAGGGGG